ACGGAGGAUGCAAGCGUUAUCCGGAUUCAUUGGGUUUAAAGGGUGCGUAGGCGGCUUUUUAAGUCAGUGGUGAAAUCCUGUCGCUCAACGAUAGAAUUGCCAUUGAUACUGAAAAGCUUGAGUUCAGUUGAGGUAAGCGGAAUGUGUAGUGUAGCGGUGAAAUGCUUAGAUAUUACACAGAACACCGAUUGCGAAGGCAGCUUACUAAACUGACACUGACGCUGAUGCACGAAAGCGUGGGGAUCGAACAG
This 251-nucleotide ribosomal RNA is filed under the name uncultured prokaryote. RNAcentral's name for it is "partial 16S ribosomal RNA". It matches the Rfam family "Bacterial small subunit ribosomal RNA", at positions 525 to 775 of the family's 1533-position model. The record is from RNAcentral.